GCCUCGGUGGUGUAGUGGUAGCACGUGGCCGCGGUAUGGGUGAAACGCCGGUUCAACUCCCGUUUGAGGCU
Molecule: non-coding RNA, 71 nt
Organism: Parelaphostrongylus tenuis
Lineage: Eukaryota; Metazoa; Nematoda; Chromadorea; Rhabditida; Metastrongylidae
Source: the annotation of a GenBank genome assembly